AUCCAGAUGACGAGUCUAAAAUAGGACGAAACGCUUGUGUUGGAU
Molecule: non-coding RNA, 45 nt
Organism: Schistosoma mattheei
Lineage: Eukaryota; Metazoa; Platyhelminthes; Trematoda; Strigeidida; Schistosomatidae
Source: Rfam